CCCUUAGAUGUUCUGGGCUGCACGCGUGCUACACUGAUAUUGCCAAUAUGUCAUUCUUAUCCGAAAUGGUUUGGGUAAUCAAGUAAUGAAAUUUCAUGCUUGGAAUCGGUAAUUGCAAUUUUAUCGUGAACGAGGAAUUCCUAGUAAGCACUAGUCAUCAGCUAAUGUUGAUUAUGUCCCUGCCCUUUGUACACACCGCCCGUCGCUACUACUGAUUGGGUGUUCAAGUGAGAUGCUUAGACCCUUGUUGCAUGGUUCAUUAUUGUGCUCCGAAAGGAAAAAGUUUCAAGCUUGAGUGUCUAGAGGAAGUAAAAGUCGUAACA
RNAcentral lists this ribosomal RNA (323 nucleotides) under uncultured eukaryote. RNAcentral's name for it is "partial 18S ribosomal RNA". It matches the Rfam family "Eukaryotic small subunit ribosomal RNA", at positions 1470 to 1796 of the family's 1831-position model. The record is from RNAcentral.